AAACUAGGAUUAGAUACCCUAUUAUUUUAAGCUAUAUAUUGGUACGUAAUUAAUAAUUUAUGAAAUCAUAAGAUUUUGGCGGUAUUUUAAGCUUAUUAGAGGAAUUUGCUCUGUGAUGGAUACAACGCCUCGAUCUUACUUAAUUUGGUUUAGGGCAGUUUGUAUACCACUAUAUUUAAUUAUAUUGAAUAGUUAUAUUUAAGAUUUUUUUAUAAAAAAAAAUAUAUUAAGUCAAGGUGCAAUUAAUAAUUAUGAAUGAAGUGAAUUACAUUAAUUUUAAUUUUUUUUUAAAAUAUUGAAAAUAAAAUUUUAGGAUUUAAUAGUAAAAUGUUAAUAUUAUGAAUAUUUGAAUAAAGCUCUAAAAUAUGCACAUAUCGCCGUCGCUCUCAGUGGUGAGAUAAGUCGUAACAUAG
RNAcentral lists this ribosomal RNA (413 nucleotides) under Ixodes affinis. RNAcentral's name for it is "partial 12S ribosomal RNA". Lineage: Eukaryota; Metazoa; Arthropoda; Arachnida; Ixodida; Ixodidae. The record is from RNAcentral.